Molecule: long non-coding RNA, 653 nt
Organism: Lathyrus oleraceus (garden pea)
Lineage: Eukaryota; Viridiplantae; Streptophyta; Magnoliopsida; Fabales; Fabaceae
Exons: 4
Source: RefSeq, a predicted model, not a curated record
UUCAUCGUCCUCCUCUCUCACUUCACUCGCUCUUUCAAUGUACUCGCCUCUCUCAAUCGUUCCAAAUUUUAAAACAGAUAAACACAAACCAUUCAUUCACCAACGAAAUCAUGCUUGAGUGCUUAAAGAAGUGAAAAUAUGGAAAGUCAUGUACCGGAGGUGACGACGGAGAUACUUGGGAUGAAACUCUGCAAAAUCUCCCUGAGGGAUGCCGCCACCAGCUUAGGGUUUCGGUUUGAUGCUCAAUGGUCCAAUGGAGAAAGUUUUCAGAAAUGCUUUUGGAUGCUCAGAAGCGAGUUAUCCUGUUUGAUGCCAUCUUCCGGAAAGUGAAAAUUUUGGGGUAGUUGAUGAGUGGUGGGGUUGCAUCUCACGACAGACACAGAAGAAGGUUGGCGGAGGAGGGUUUGUUUCAAGGUCGCCUGAACUGUUGCUGCUGUUGAACAAGAAGUCGAUGUUGCUGCUGUAGUGUCAAUUGCAUCCGCUGGGCCUGGGGCAAUGACUGUUGCUGCAGUUGAAGAAUCUUUAGCCAACUUCAUUCCCAACUCGCCGGCAACACCAAACACAGCUAGUGUCGAUACUGCCGCAUCAAAAGCAUGGCUUUUGUCAACUGCAACAAAGGCAACAAUGAAUAAGUGGUCCCAUGUGAGCUUCUU